CCACGGUCCACCAGGCUGGUUACAAGGGGUCUGGUACUUCUACGGGCCACCAUACGAAGGCAUUUGAGCCUUCCUCAGGUCACCAGGCUGGCUACAUGGGAUCCCAACCUUCCACUGGUCACCAGGCUGGCUACAUGGGAUCCCAACCUUCUACUGGUCAACAUGCUGGUUACAUGGGAUCCCAACCUUCUACAGAUCACCAGUCUAGUUACAUGGGAUUUGGAACUUCUACAGAUCAGGGUUAUGGUGAUGCCAAUGGUUUUGUCAAUACACAAGGCUUUGUUCCAACGGGGAGUAUGUACAACAGCCAGAAACAAGCUCAUGCAAACACCCAA
RNAcentral lists this long non-coding RNA (335 nucleotides) under Hordeum vulgare. RNAcentral's name for it is "long non-coding RNA (HVUL_LNC014560)". The record is from RNAcentral. Lineage: Eukaryota; Viridiplantae; Streptophyta; Magnoliopsida; Poales; Poaceae.